UAGCGGCGGACGGGUGAGUAACACGUGGAUAACCUACCUAUAAGACUGGGAUAACUUCGGGAAACCGGAGCUAAUACCGGAUAAUAUAUUGAACCGCAUGGUUCAAUAGUGAAAGACGGUUUUGCUGUCACUUAUAGAUGGAUCCGCGCCGCAUUAGCUAGUUGGUAAGGUAACGGCUUACCAAGGCAACGAUGCGUAGCCGACCUGAGAGGGUGAUCGGCCACACUGGAACUGAGACACGGUCCAG
This 247-nucleotide ribosomal RNA is filed under the name uncultured bacterium. RNAcentral describes it as "partial 16S ribosomal RNA". It matches the Rfam family "Bacterial small subunit ribosomal RNA", at positions 93 to 334 of the family's 1533-position model. The record is from RNAcentral.